AGAGUUUGAUCAUGGCUCAGAACGAACGCUGGCGGCGUGCCUAACACAUGCAAGUCGCACGCAGUUAAGGGGGCAACUCCUUGAUUGAGUGGCGCACGGGUGCGUAACGCGUAUAGAACCUACCUUUUACAGAGGGAUAGCCCAGAGAAAUUUGGAUUAAUACCUCAUAAUAUUGUUGAAUGGCAUCAUUUGACAAUUAAAGUUUCGGCGGUAAAAGAUGGCUAUGCGUCCUAUUAGUUAGUUGGUGAGGUAACGGCUCACCAAGACAUCGAUAGGUAGGGGUCCUGAGAGGGAGAUCCCCCCACACUGGUACUGAGGACACGGACCAGACUCCUACGGGAGGCAGCAGUGAGGAAUAUUGGACAAUGGGCGCAAAGCCUGAUCCAGCCAUGCCGCGUGCAGGAAGACGGCCCCAUGGUUGAAACUGCUUUUAUACAGGAAGAAACACUCCCUCGUGAGGGAACUUGACGGUACUGUAUGAAUAAGCACCGGCUAACUCCGUGCCAGCAGCC
RNAcentral lists this ribosomal RNA (512 nucleotides) under uncultured bacterium. RNAcentral's name for it is "bacterial SSU rRNA". It matches the Rfam family "Bacterial small subunit ribosomal RNA", at positions 8 to 516 of the family's 1533-position model. The record is from RNAcentral.